This 513-nucleotide ribosomal RNA is filed under the name uncultured bacterium. Its description in RNAcentral is "bacterial SSU rRNA". It matches the Rfam family "Bacterial small subunit ribosomal RNA", at positions 28 to 527 of the family's 1533-position model. The record is from RNAcentral.
GACGAACGCUGGCGGCGUGCCUAAUACAUGCAAGUCGAGCGGACCAAAGGGAGCUUGCUCCUGGAGGUUAGCGGCGAACGGGUGAGUAACACGUGGGCAACCUGCCUGUAAGACUGGGAUAACAUCGAGAAAUCGGUGCUAAUACCGGAUAAUAAAAGAACUGCAUGGUUCUUUUUGAAAGAUGGUUUCGGCUAUCACUUACAGAUGGGCCGCGGCGCAUUAGCUAGUUGGUGAGGUAACGGCUCACCAAGGCGACGAUGCGUAGCCGACCUGAGAGGGUGAUCGGCCACACUGGGACUGAGGCACGGCCCAGACUCCUACGGGAGGCAGCAGUAGGGAAUCUUCCGCAAUGGACGAAAGUCUGACGGAGCAACGCCGCGUGAGUGAUGAAGGUUUUCGGAUCGUAAAACUCUGUUGUUAGGGAAGAACAAGUGCCGUUCGAAAGGGCGGCACCUUGACGGUACCUAACGAGAAAGCCACGGCUAACUACGUGCCAGCAGCCGCGGUAAAGUA